Molecule: ribosomal RNA, 119 nt
Organism: Betta splendens (Siamese fighting fish)
Lineage: Eukaryota; Metazoa; Chordata; Actinopteri; Anabantiformes; Osphronemidae
Source: Ensembl
GCUUACGGCCAUACCACCCUGAGCACGCUCGAUCUAGUCUGAUCUCGGAAGCUAAUUAGGGUCGGGCCUGGUUAGAACUUGGAUGGGAGAAUGCCUGGGAAUACCAGGUGCUGUAAGCU